Molecule: small RNA, 401 nt
Filed under: Pan troglodytes (chimpanzee)
Lineage: Eukaryota; Metazoa; Chordata; Mammalia; Primates; Hominidae
Description: retained intron
Source: RNAcentral
GCAGAGCUUGGGGCUGCCUUGGUCGCACCCACCACCUGCCUGCCCACUGGUCAGCCUUCAGGGAACCUGAGCACCGCCUGGUCUCUUUCCUGUGGCCAGCCCAGAGCUGAAGCGCUGCGGCAUGGCGCGCGCCUGCCUCCAGGCCGUCAAGUACCUCAUGUUCGCCUUCAACCUGCUCUUCUGGUUCUUCCUGCUGCUGCUGCUGGUGUUCCUGCUGGAGGCCACCAUCGCCAUCCUCUUCUUCGCCUACACGGACAAGGUACGGCUGCCUUGGCCGCAGGCCCAACUGCAGGGCUGGGGGCUCCAUCCUCACUCCCAGGGAGCACUGUGGGCCCAGUGUGGACAGAGUGGCCCUGCAUGUGCCCUCAUGGGCGGGCAGGACAGCGGGUGUGGAUUUACCA